GUUAAAUAUCCGAAUCUCAAUAAAACUUGUUUAAUAUUUUGAAUUGAUAUAAACUGAAUAAUCUGACUUUAUGUACAUUGGAAUUUUAUAUAGAAUUUUGCUUAAAAUCGAUUCAAUUCUUUCUAUAUACUUCAGUGAAGUUAGAAAAGGAAAAAGCUUCGUCAAGCACGACGGUAGAGACACACCUUGACCAUCGGAAUAAAGAUGGCGACGAAUGCUGUGAACGGUACGUUAGAACAAAGCUGUAAUUCGAAUCCAGCCAAAGAAAGCAAAACAUCAUCAUCAACGAAUACAGAAGAGAUCGAACAACAGACUUACGUAAAUGGCACAGCAGUCACGUCUACGGAUACAUCUGACCUGUCUGAAGAGACAAAGGUAAAGUCCUUUCUUCUCUACACUCAAUGGCGUCGCUCGUUUGACAAGCGAAGCCUUCCAAAUGUAAAAAGCGGCAUCCUUUCAGGCAAAAGAAAUAAGCUUAAAUUACUCACAGAACAUGGGGAUUAAGUUAUUUGAGGACGCAUCCAUAAUAUAUCAAUUUCUUUAUUUUUAUUGCAAAUCUGUAAUAUGAAUUACUAAAAGGAUAAAAUGAGAUGGAGAUAAAAUAAAACGGAUUAUUAGAGGUUGUUAAAUUUUAUGAAGUUCAAAUAUUAUUAUGCGAAUAAGUUAAAAAUGAAUUGUGUAUAAUGUGACAUGUUUUUUUAGGAAAAUAAAUUGUAAAUUUCAAUUAAAUGACAUAACUCAGUUUCUCCGUAUUUUCA
This 758-nucleotide long non-coding RNA is filed under the name Androctonus crassicauda. The record is from RNAcentral. Lineage: Eukaryota; Metazoa; Arthropoda; Arachnida; Scorpiones; Buthidae.